Symphalangus syndactylus (siamang) is the source of this 1860-nucleotide long non-coding RNA. RefSeq lists it as uncharacterized. The record is from RefSeq and is a predicted model, not a curated record. Lineage: Eukaryota; Metazoa; Chordata; Mammalia; Primates; Hylobatidae.
GGACUCGGACUGACUUUGUUGCCUCUCAGCUUGCAGACGGCCUAUUGUGGGACUUCACGUCGUGAUCGUGUGCGUCAGUUCUCCUUAAUAAACUCCCCGUCAUGUAUACAUCUAUCCUAUUAGUCCUGUUCCUCUAGAGAACCCUGACUCAUACAGAGAGGAAGGCAUCCAGAACAGAACUGAAGUUGAACAGGAGCAGAUGGGAAGACAGGAUAUCAAGUUCCAGGCUUGGGGUGUAGACAGAGAACAGGAGCUGCUAAAAUGGAGAGCCAUAGAGCAGGUGGGGAGCGUCCUGUGGGCACAGAGUUCACCUGGUUCCUUUAGGGAAGCUGUAUUUGUCCCUUUUCAUGCUGCGGAUAAAGAUAUACCUGAGACUGGGUGAUUUACAAAAGGAAGCGGUUUAAUGUUUAAUGCACUUAGAGUUGCAGGUGGUUGAGGCUUCACAGUCAUAGUAGAGGGCAAGGAGGAGCAAGUCAUGUCUUACAUGAUGGCAGCAGGCAAAGAGAAUGAGAGCUUGUGCAGCGGAACUUCUCUGUAUAAAACCAUCAGAUCUCAUGAGACUUAUUCGCUAUCAGGAGAACAGCACGGGAAAAACAUGCCCCCCGUGAUUCAGUUACCUCCCACAGCAUUCCUCUCACAACACCUGGGAAUUCAAGAUGAGAUUUGGGUGGGGACGCAGCCAAAUCGUAUCAGAAGGCCUGCUCCAAGUUCCGGUUUCUCAAGGAGCAUUUGUACAUCAGAUGUCCUCAGGCUCUGUCUACUGCAGUCUACUUCCUUUGCAGUCUUGUUCCCACUGGAAUCUGAGUCUCUUUGCAAUCCACAAAUCCUAAGGAGUGAGCUAACCUGGACACUCCUGACUGGGCUGGGGUGAGUAUUCGGCCACUGGUCUGAUUGGCUGGUGACCCAGGAGAUGGCCUUCCCCAGGCCCUGCAGCUGAGUGGCAGCACCUCAUGCCACAGUGACAGUAAGAAUGAGUGCCGUGGGCUCAAGUGCACCGAGUCCUCCGUGCAUCGCCGUCCGCGAGAAACGCUUUCGAGUCUGUGUGUUCUGGCUGCCUCGGUAUAUGCAUACUUUGUUUAGUUGUCAAUUUGGAGGAUUUCUUCUGCAACCAAAAUUUCUAUCUUCUUCUUUCUGCUUUGUCCUCAGAACAAAUCCUUGGUAUUUAGGAGACGUGUACACGUCUCUGUUUCUUGAGGAAGAGUUUUCUUCUGCUGUUGUCCUGCUUCUAACUCUUGCUUCCCAUUUGGGAGAUUCUCUGCCUCAUGCGUGGUGGUGGGAGAAUACUCUGCUCACCGGAGUGGAUGGAAGCCCUCGUUCUAAGCCUCUUCUCAGCUGGGGGCAUCUGGAGCACCCAUUCUGGGCUUGGGCACAGGUGCCAGUGGCAGAGAGAAGUGAGGACAUCAUGGAAUUCGUUCCGGCUGGGGAGCUACAGCUCAGCAAUACUCAGCGAUACUCAGAGCUGUUUUUGAAAUGCAACAUGUAAUUCCUUCCCUGCAGAGCCUGGGCAAGAAUUCCUCUCAAGCCUGUACCCCUUUGAGCCUCACUACUUGAGUAUUCAAAGCUAGAGGACAGCAAUGUUGCUGUUUCAUACGUCGCUGCGAGCAACACCUCUGCAGCCUUGUGAUGAGGAAGGAACAAUUUAGAGCCUUUUCUGCCCACUGAUCCUUGCCUGCUGAAGAUAUCAAGUCUCUAAGGCUACAUUGACACUAUCUACAUAUCACAGACAUGGAUGAAAGAUCAUGUUUCUCAGACAUCAAGUUAAAAACCGAUAAUGACCACAGUCAUGAAAGAACAUUCAGCCUGAGAGAAAAGGGGUUAACACACAGGGAAGAUAAUGACCGUGAGACCCGCCAGCUGCAG